Molecule: ribosomal RNA, 253 nt
Filed under: uncultured bacterium
Lineage: Bacteria
Description: partial 16S ribosomal RNA
Rfam family: Bacterial small subunit ribosomal RNA
Source: RNAcentral
UACGUAGGGGGCAAGCGUUGUCCGGAAUCAUUGGGCGUAAAGAGCGCGUAGGCGGCCCUGUAAGUCCGCUGUGAAAGUCAAGGGCUCAACCCUUGGAUGCCGGUGGAUACUGCAGGGCUAGAGUCCGGAAGAGGCGAGUGGAAUUCCUGGUGUAGCGGUGAAAUGCGCAGAUAUCAGGAGGAACACCAAUGGCGAAGGCGGUUCUCUGGGCAUUACCUGACGCUGAGGAGCGAAAGUGUGGGGAGCGAACAGG